CACGAAGCAUCCUCAUCUCCGCUACACCCAUUUUGUGUACGUGUUGAUGCUUCACCGCCCAACAUUCUGUGCCAUACAACAUCGCUGGCCUUAUUGCCGUCCUAUAAAAUUUUCCCUUGAGCUUCAGUGGCCUACGACGGUCACACAACACGCCGGAUGCACUCUUACACUUCAUCCAUCCAGCUCGUAUUCUAUGGUUGAGAUCUCCAUCUAAUUCUCCGUUCUCUUGCAAGAUAGAUCCUAGGUAGCGAAAACGGUCGCUUUUUGUGAUCUUCGCUAGAUUGCUCCGGUCAUUAGUGUGGAUAAGUAUAUAAAUGGAUAGAGAUAGGAAAGCAAACACAAGAUGUACGUGGUUCACCCAGAUUGGCUACGUCCACGGAAUAGAAGAGUUCUCAUUAAUUGUGAAGGGUUUACACAAGUACAUAGGUUCAAGCUCUCCUUUAGUGAGUACAAGUGAAUGAUUUAGUACAAAUGACAUUAGGAAAUAUUUGUGGGAGAAUGAUCUCGUAAUCACGAAACUUCUAAGUAUCGGAGUGUGGUGUCGUCUUGACUUGCCUUAUCUGUCUCAUAGGUAGAUGUGGCAUCUUCUCUGGAAGUACUCUUCCUCCAUCCAGGGGUGGUAUCUUUAACUGGUGGAGAUGCACAAGGUAAUGUAUCAAUUUCACUUGAAGCUUACUUGUAGUUUCAGGCUUGGUCAAGCGCGAUACAAACCAUGUAGUAGGAGUCCCCCAAGUCGCCGAGCUAGGGGGUCUGCUGAAAGAGGUGACAGACAAGGUAAGCAAUCAGAGCUCCGACUGAUUGUUCACCUUCUCCCCAUCUUGCAGCAGCAUGAAGGAUAAAGAGAAGAAAAAUGAGAAGAGAUGAUAUGAGAUACUUUUGCUUUUGAAGAAGUAACUUUCCACAGGCUUAUUCUUGAACUGAGCUGGAGGGUUUUCUGGUUUCCUCCAGAGUAUAAGGCCGACUGAAGAAUUUGAGGGUCAAAACAAGUCCAUCAAAUCUAGAGUACGUUCCACCCUGCUGAUAUGGGAUACUUUUGCUUUUGACAGAGUAAUGGAUGUAUCGGCACGUGUGCUGUUACGCUUGUCUCCACAUGCUUCCUUGUAUCCUUCGCACUUGCCCUAUCUGUUCCUCAAGCAGAUGCGGAAUCUUCCCUGGAAACAUAAGAUGUUGAAGAUGAGUACUCGAGAGCAAUGCCAGGUAAGUAAUCAGGUAAGGGGUUCCAGGCAGUCAGUUCCUGGCUGGAAGCUUGAUUCCAAGUGCUGACUGAUUGCUCUCUUUCUCCUUGUCUUGCAGGUAAAAACAAGGCCAAAGGAAAAGACAGGGAAAAAGCAUGAUAUGGGAUACUCUUGCUUUUAACCCUGAUGAUAUGAGAUAUUCUUGCUCUAGUAUAGCUUGUUUGCAGAGGUAUUAUCGGGGGGAAAGAAAGCUGAAUAUUUCGAAAGGCUUCGUUGGGAGUGCCCUCUCAGAUAUGAUGAAGGGUUGAGCAUUUUUGCAGGUCUGCCUGUCCGUUGGGGAUGGAGGUCGACAUAUAUAGGAGUCUCCCUAACAACAAGUAGUAAUGCUAUUCCUUUACCCUGCUUGGUCAUAGCACGGUAGUGGGAGCUGCCAGUUUCACAUGUUUUAACUCUGUCAGAGCACUUUGAAAAAGUGGUCUGUGGUAUCUGGCUCUCGAGAUUCGGAGAACGAUGCCUCUUCGAUUUUUGAGAAAGCAAUCAUGCUGGGGGUCUGGCUCUCGAGAUUCGGAGAGCAGUGUCUCUUCGAUUUUUGAGGAAGUAAUCAUGUUGGGAGUCUGGCUCUCGAGAUUCGGAGGGCGGUGCCUCUUCGAUUUUGGAGCAAGCAAUCUUGUUGGGAGUGUUGUCUCGAAUGUGAGUAAAGGUUGGGCAUGUUUGCUAGUCUACCUUGCCACGAAGCACAAAGGUUGACACACAGGGACUUUCCAAUUAUCCAGCAAUGGUACUGUUCCUUUACCCUCUCUUCGAUUUUGAGAAAGUAGUCAUGUUGGGAGUCUGGCUCUCGAGAUUCGGAGGACGGUGCCUCUUCGAUUUUGGAGCAAGCAAUCUUGUUGGGAGUGUUUUCUCGAAUGUGAGUAAAGGUUGGGCAUGUUUGCUAGUCUACCUUGCCACGAAGCACAGAGGUUGACACACAGGGACUUUCCAAUUAUCCAGCAGUGGUACUGUUCCUUUACCCUUGUGGGUAAUAAUAUGGUAGCUAGACCUUCAAAAUUUAUGUGUCUAAACUUUGUUAGUGCUGUUUCUUUGCUAUUCUUUUACCUUUCUUGGUCAGAGCGAUGUAGUGGGAGCUGCAAGCUUCACGUGCUCAACUUUGGCAGAGAACUUUGGCAAAGUUAUCUGUGUGGUACCCAGUAAGAUUCAUGUGCUUUCUACUUAGAAGUCUUCGACAGAAUGUUUCUGCAAAGCUGAGUGUGCGUGUGACAGGUGCUGACAAGGCUAGAAAAGUAGGUGCCUCUUCGAUUUCUGAGAUCGGCCCUCGUGGUCUCUGAGCAGCCCAGCUUUUGAGAAAGCGAGCGCCUCUUCGAUUGAUUCGGAGAACGAUGCCUCAUCGAUUUUUGAGAAAGCAAUCAUGCUGGGGGUCUGGCUCUCGAAGAUUCGGGGAGCAGUGUGUCUCUUCGAUUUUUGAGAAAGUAAUCAUGUUGGGAGUCUGGCUCUCGAGAUUCGGAGGGCGGUGCCUCUUCGAUUUUGGAGCAAGCAAUCUUGUUGGGAGUGUUUUCUCGAAUGUGAGUAAAGGUUGGGCAUGUUUGCUAGUCUACCUUGCCACGAAGCACAGAGGUUGACACACAGGGACUUUCCAAUUAUCCAGCAAUGGUACUGUUCCUUUACCCUCUCUUCGAUUUUUAAGAAAGUAGUCAUGUUGGGAGUCUGGCUCUCGAGAUUCGGAGGACGGUGCCUCUUCGAUUUUGGAGCAAGCAAUCUUAUUGGGAGUGUUUUCUCGAAUGUGAGUAAAAGGUUGGGCAUGUUUGCUAGUCUACCUUGCCACGAAGCACAGAGGUUGACACACAGGGACUUUCCAAUUAUCCAGCAGUGGUACUGUUCCUUUACCCUUGUGGGUAAUAAUAUGGUAGCUAGACCUUCAAAAUUUAUGGGUCUAAACUUUGUUAGUGCUGUUUCUUUGCUAUUCUUUUACCCUUCUUGGUCAGAGCGAUGUAGUGGGAGCUGCAAGCUUCACGUGCUCAACUUUGGCAGAGAACUUUGGCAAAGUUAUCUGUGGUACCCAUGAGCUAUUGUUGCGUGUGGGAAGUGGGUGAUUGAACAGUAAGAUUCAUGUGUUUUCUACUUCCCCAGAAGUCUUCGACAGAAUGCCCAUAAUUUCCGCAAAGCUGAGUGUGCGUGUGACAGGUGCUGACAAGGCUGGAAAAGUAGGUGCCUCUUCGAUUUCUGAGAUCGGCCCUCGUGGUCUCUGGGGAGCCCAGCUUUUGAGAAAGCGAGCGCCUCUUCGAUUUCUGAGAUCGGCCUUCGUGGUCUUUGAGCAGCCCAACUUUUGAGAAAGCAAACGCCUCUUCGAUUUCUGAGAUCAACCCUCGUGAUCUCUAAGCAGCCCAGCUUUUGAGAAAGCAAACGCCUCUUCGAUUUCUGAGCAGGCGCCUCUUCGAUUUCUGAAGCUCCGUCGAGUGCAGAUUUUUAUAGGGGCUGGCAUUAAGUUCCAAAGCACACUUGAAUCUCCACCAGUAGAAGCUUCAUUCUUGCACUUCUAAGAUCUUGAUUUGUCCGACCUCUUCUCUCUUCAACACCUUUGAAAAUGUCUGGCCCCUCCGACCGUCGUUUUGACUUGAACCUUGUUGAAGAGGCAGCCCCGCCUUCUCCAGACAACAUAUGGCGCCCAUCCUUCGUCUCCCCUACUGGUCCUCUUACCGUUGGGGAUUCCGUGAUGAAGAAUGAUAUGACCGCUGCGGUGGUGGUGGCCAGGAACCUUCUCACUCCCAAAGAUAACAGACUACUUUCCAAACGGUCUGAUGAGUUAGCUGUUAAGGAUUCGCUGGCUCUCAGUGUUCAGUGUGCAGGUUCUGUGUCUAAUAUGGCCCAACGCCUAUUUGCUCGAACCCGCCAAGUUGAAUCAUUGGCGGCUGAAGUGAUGAGUCUCAAACAGGAGAUUAGAGGGCUCAAGCAUGAGAAUAAACAGUUGCACCGGCUCGCACAUGACUAUGCUACAAACAUGAAGAGGAAGCUUGACCAGAUGAAGGAAACUGAUGGUCAGGUUUUACUUGAUCAUCAGAGAUUUGUGGGUUUGUUCCAAAGGCAUUUAUUGCCUUCGUCUUCUGGGGCUGUACCGCGUAAUGAAGCUCCAAAUGAUCAACCUCUGAUGCCUCCUCCUUCUAGGGUUCUGUCCAGUACUGAGGCUCCAAAUGAUCCCCCUCCGGUGCCUUCUCUUUCUGGGGCUCUACCGACUGCUGAGACUUCUCCUAAGCAACCUUUGUGAAGGCUCCCUCUUGUGUGUUUAUUUUGACUCAUGUAUAUGUACAUAUUUGUAGCUUAUCGGGGAUAUCAAUAAAUAAGCUUUCCUUCAUUUCAACGUAUUGUGUUAAAUACACCAAAGCCUUCUUCGCUAAGUUCUUUGAAUUUUCUUUUGUUGAAGCUUGUAUGUUGAAGCUUUCUGAGUGGAGCAUGUAGGUUGGGGUAGUGUUCCCUUAAUUUCCCGAGUGAGGAAAACUUCUCGGUUGGAGACUUGGAAAAUCCAAGUCACUGAGUGGGAUCGGCUAUAUGAAUCUUAGAACGCCAUUGUGCUCGAUCCUGUGUCAUGUCCUUCGUUAGAUCCAAGUACUCUAAGUCUUUUCUUAGAGUCUCUUCCAAAGUUUUCCUAGGUCUUCCUCUACCCCUUCGGCCCUGAACCUCUGUCCCAUAGUCGCAUCUUCUAAUCGGAGCGUCAGUAGGCCUUCUUUGCACAUGUCCAAACCACCGUAACCGAUUUUCUCUCAUCUUUCCUUCAAUUUCGGCUACUCCUACUUUACCCCGGAUAUCCUCAUUCCUAAUCUUAUCCUUUCUCGUGUGCCCACACAUCCAACGAAGCAUCCUCAUCUCCGCUACACCCAUUUUGUGUACGUGUUGAUGUUUCACCGCCCAACAUUCUGUGCCAUACAGCAUCGCCGGCCUUAUUGCCGUCCUAUAAAAUUUUCCCUUGAGCUUCAGUGGCAUACGGCGGUCACACACAACACGCCGGAUGCACUCUUCCACUUCAUCCAUCCAGCUUGUAUUCUAUGGUUGAGAUCUCCAUCUAAUUCUCCGUUCUUUUGCAAGAUAGAUCCCAGCUUCGCCCUGUCCGAUCGCAUAACUUAUCAUUUAACACUCACUUUCAUAUCUAAUCACUCCAAAAAGAUUUGUUGUGAGAUUGUUUGGUUCAUAAUUUUCUCUAGCAUAUCAAAAAAAGUUCUCCGUUCAUAGAGAAAGCGUUCCAACAACUGGUCCAACCAACAAAACAUUAGUUUGUUCUACCCAUCCAUAAGAUCGGCCCAAAAACCGAUGCAGGGCUUCAAUACAAAAACCCUAGCUGUGAGAGAGUAUCGAAAGUUCGUAAGCCCAACUCAGUCGGCAGCCGACCGCAAUGCGUGGACGCGGCUUACAGAUGCAAAACGAGAAGCUACUGCUUGGAGCUACUUCUAGUGAGAUGGGCUAAAUGGGAAUGAUCGGGAAUUCCGGCUUAAGGGGGCCCCGACAUCGUUCGAGCCCAUUUACUUCUAAUCUGACUAUUUUGUGACCUGUGCGAUGUAAAACUUCUAUUUCUCAUCAGAACGUGGAGCCACAGCUCUGAUACGACUGGCCGUUAGGAGUCGCCACGGGUUCGUAUCCCGUGAACUCCGGCAGUUUCAGUUUUCGUACUAAGGGACCUACUCUACCCAAACCGAACAUUUUUCUGCAAUGAUGACACUCAGAAGUUCAUGUACCCCGCUAGUAGCACGAUCUAAACUUCUCAAGAAAUGCUGGCCAUAAAUCGUUACACGGACUAAACCUCAUUAUGGUUGAGGAAAGUUGAAACUUGAGGCCUCUUUUGCUCCUUGAGGACUUCAAACCAUUUCCAGUCAACAAAAGGUUGGAAGUUUGUUCAUUUGUCCUAAGUCACACUCAAAUAACAAUGUGACAUCAUAAUCCGGUCAAUUAAAAUGGGCUACUGGCUUUACACUUCAAGUAAUGCUUUGUAAAGCAGGUUAUUGCCAAAAAUUCCCGAGACCUGGUUAAAAAGGUAAUUGAGGAGCACGAAGCAUUCAGGUCGGCCUCAGAGAGUUGAUCCAUAUAGGAUUCAUUGCUCAACGUCAGCAGAACCAAUCGCAGUUUCUCAUGAGAAAGCCUGAGGCGGAGCUGAUGAUUACUAUAAUGUACUUUAAACUAACGUUGCCUAGGAAUAAGAUGAACUUAUAAUUUAAAAAUAAUGCCGUCACUAACUUUAAUCUAAGAAAGCAGUUUACUUUAUAAUUUGAUCACUCCUCAUUAAAAAUUGUCUUCCUGCAGAACCAAUAACUAAUGACCUUUAAACUGUAAAACAUAUAAAAAUGAAAAACUGGACUGAGAACCACAUUACUUUGCUUCUGAUUCUUCAUUACGACUUCUCAGUCUCCCGUUUCUUAGUUCUUCAAAGUUUUCAAUUUACCAAUAACCAUCUUUCAAACCAUCCCCAGAUACGAAACCGAUGACGGCUUCACCAAACUCAAACAUUAGGUUUUAGAUACUCUACUUCCAAAUCAACCUGAUUUUCAUCUUGAUGCGUUCUUCGAACACAAAGAUGCAUUCUCUUUGGGAACCCUGCAUGGACUCGCCCAGAGUCUCAGAUGUGUGGAGUGUGACCCGGCUAGUAGCAACAUGGAUCACUCCCAAUCAUAUAGGACCCAGAACUGGUCUUUGUCCACAAGGUUGGAGUCACGCUACCCAGGGCAUUCCUACUUUUCCUCCAGUGUUAAGAGGGAGGAUCAUGGGGACAAUGGAUUGAUGACUUGAAGCCCAUUCAUGAAGCUAAAAUGGCAAUCCCAACGACUCUACGACACACUGAUUGAUAUGUAUCCAAGCAAGGGGUUGUCCAUUCUUUUGAAUCCCGAGCUUUCUCAGGCAGCAAUGGUGUUUUGGGAUAACACCACCAACACCUUCAAUUUCAGAAUGGGCCCGAUGACACCCAUGAUCCUAGAUAUGGCUCAGUUGUUCGGGCUUCGACCGUCGGGCAAAUGUGUUGACAUCACCGAGGACUGGGCAGCUCAUAGGGAAACCAAUAAGAAGAAGAAAGGAAAUGUCGAAGCUAUCAUUCCUUUUGUGAAAAUGAAUAGCAAUCCGGCCGAGCUCAAGGCCUCGGGCACCUCCUUCUCGAGAUUCCUGCAUUAUUUUAAGGAAUGUUCCAGCUUCAACCCCCUUCGGGCAAAUCCCGAUCAGGAGCACGUACAUUUCCUAUUGUGUUGACUCAACAAGUUCUUGUUUCCAAAUCCCUUCAAAUGCAUCAAAUUGGAAUGGAUUCCUCUGGCCGAGGCAUUAAAUGCCUAUGAUGAUGUUGCCAUGGGGCCAUUUGUGUUGUCUCAUCUGUACUCGAUGCUGGGCAAGAUGACCAGAGAUAGGCCAUUCCAGACCAACCGGCAAGGGCCACUUUGGAUGGUACAAAUUUGACUCCAGUGAUACUUCCCUAAGCUUAAGAGUCCAGAGAUCGUUUUUGAAGAUCGGACAGUACUAGCCAUUCAACUGGCUUUGGCACCUUUGACACACCGCACUACUCUGGAGUGUUUGUACUUAUUUAGAGAAUGUCGGACAAGGACAACAGAACAAUGGGGUGUUUCCUUUUUCAGAGCCUACCCUUGGUUUGAAAAAGGAAAUUUUUUGGAGGAGCUCGACGGACCAUAUGAAAAAUGGGGAACGGAUCGAUUCUUCAGCUGCGUCCAAGUUUGAGACAUCGUUUGGUCAUCCCCACUAGUUUGUCUACUCUUCUUAAUCUUAGUUCCAAUAAAUCUAAUUGAUUGGUCAUCCACUUAGAUUUAUCUAAUUAUCUAGAAACAAGUUCACAAUGAUAGCCAGUCACAAUAACAUUCGAGACUAGAAUAGAUUAAGCACAAAGAUUAAGAAUGAAACAUAGCAUUUAAUCGAAUAAUAAUCAACAAGAUAUUUCGGAAAUAAUCAUGUCAUGGCUUCAUCAUAAGCCUUAGAAAAGUAGUUUAAGUACACAUAGUCAUAAUAAAAAUCACAAAAGAAGUCAUGGAAGAAGUGUUGGAUAUAUGUCAACAAUCUGUGAUAAUUUAUAUAUGCUAAUAAUUUAUCUUCUGGAAAAACCUGUAAAGAUAUGGGAAACAUAGUUUUAUCUCUUAUUUUUCCACGCCUAUAUUGCACGUCACUAGGAAAAAACUUCUUCUUCCAACUUAGUCAGAGUCGGAACUCUGAAACUCAGAAGAGAGCCGUUGAACGGUGCUGUUUCGCAAGCCAUCUUCUCUUCCAAGAGCCGAAAAAAGCUUCGUCUCCCAAAACCUGCAACUUUCUCGGGUCAGUUUUAUCCUCCUUUUCCCAUCUCCUUGGAUUUUUUUCGUUUGGAUUUUUCUGUUGCAUUUGCAUAUUCUAAUUUUUGGGGGUUUUCGGAUACUAUGCACAUAGUAAUUCAAUUCUCAUGUGAUGUAAAUGAUCGUUUGAACCCUUUGAGUUGUUUUAAGAUUAAUCUUAAUUUUGAUAAUUAAUCAAAAGUUUAGAAUUGAAGUUGUUAUUUUAGUUGCUUGGAUUAGGAAAUAUUUUUACAAGCCUUUGGAAAAUUAAAGUUUUAUCUCAAUAGAAUUUUGAAUGGAAUGUUGAAUUUCUGUUACUUUUUGUGCUUGCUUGGUAUGUGGAUUGAUCAUAUGAAUUUUGAUCAAGUUGUAUAGGAGUAUGGCAAUAAGAGUGCACCGUGUUUCACUCCAACAGAGUGACAUAUGUUCCUUUGUGGUUGAGUAUACGGAAUUUAUCCCUUCGGAAUGAUGGAUUUAAGUAUCUGCGACGGGGGAUGCAUUUCGAGGGAAAGGAGGGUCCGAUUGUAUUGCAGUUGAGGAUAUGAAAUUGGAUAUUUGAAGUGUUUAACCAAAUCAUAAAGUGUGUUUGUUAGCUUGAGAAACAUCAAAAGGUUGUGCAGGCUUGUAGCUGGAGUAGUAAAUAUCUUGUUCACACAUUCAUACUUAAUAUUUGGUUGCGUAGGUAGAGUUUUAAUCAGUGAGUUGACUCUACAACUUGUAUAACAGUCAUAUCAAACUCUUGUGGAUGCGAUAAUAACUUGAGAUAGUGCAUUCCAUUAUUCUCGCUAACUUGUUUUGUUUGUUUCAUAGACUUUCUAACACAUAUCUUUUGUAUUUUCCUAUUCAUGAUCCUUUAGUCUAGAAAAAUUCUUCUACGCAGUUGUUUGUAUGUAGAAAUUAUCACAUCAAUGGGAUCACAAGGUACCUUGGAUGCUAAGAAAAUAUAACGACUAUUUUGUGAGUGGCCGCACAUCCUUUUGACCCUUUAGUCGCACGCUAAAAUUUCUUCUUAGACCAAGAUGCAUCUCAACUUUACACUACACUAAAAACACAUUAUAUUGUUAAGGAAAUGCUUGGUAACUUAUCAUCUAACACUCACUUUCAUAUCUAAAUCACUCCAAAAAGAUUUGUUGUGAGAAAAUACGGUUUGGUUCACAAAUUUUCUCUAGUGCAUAUCAAAAGAAAGUUCAGUUCCGAACAAGAGUGUACCAGAAAUAACCUCUUAGUUCUACCAUUCAAGUCAAUAAAAAGCCCAAUUACUGGCUCAAUACAAAACAUUAUUAGAAAUGUUCUAAGCCCCAUAGUCGGCCCAAAAACCGAUGCAGGGCCCGCGGUUGACAAAAACCCUAGCUGCGAGAGAGAGAAUUUGGGAGGGCGAGAAUGGUGUCCGGCUCAGGAAUCCGCACGAAGCGAGUGGUGGUGGAUAGGCACCACCACAUGCUCGAUCAUCUGGCACGGUCGUGACCAAGGACCUUCUCAACGACCAGCCGACCGCAGUCGUGCGCGCCGAGCAGACCGCCAUAUCGAGAGGUCUGGUGACGCAGAAGCGCAUGAACACCCAACCCUCUCAAGGCCGCAUCUACUACCUCUCUCCAGCCAAAAUCUUAUGGUGCGACGUCCGAGGGUAAUGCCGUAAUUUCGUAAUUCACACUCUGGCCCUCUGUGCCUCUGUUUCUCUGCUUCAAAACUCACUGUUAUAAUGGCGAUUGGUUUGUACUUUUUUCAGGAUGAUCCGCACAAGAGUAAACGCGGGCUCUGGCGAGGCUGAAGGUUUACGAGGGCAUCCCACCGCCGUAUGACUAGAUGAAGAAGAUGGUGGUUCCUGAUGCUAUCAAGUGAGUAUGGUGGCGGUGUGACUUUUUGUUUUUGUAUGCUAAGUGUUUGAUGAAUUGCUUCAGUGAAUUGGGGUUUGUGAUCAAUUGUCAAAUUAGGGUUUUGAGGCUUCAGAAGGGCCACAAAUACAGCUUGUUGGGUCAGCUUUUGUCCGAGGUCGGAUGGAAUCAUUAUGACACCAUCAAGGUAAGAUGAAAUUCAACUCACAAGAUUUAUGCUUUUUGCAAUUCUUAUUUAAUGAUGUCGAAAUUUGUGAACAUUCCCUUUUAUUUGUUGUAAGUAACUUGAAUGUAGAUUGUAUUUUCUUGUAAUUUGAAUGCAGUUUGGAUGUAAUUUGAAUGUAGAUUGUUGUUAGCCACAGCAGAGUGGAUACAUUUGUUACCUUACAGAGUUAUCUUCGUCAUUUGCAUCAUUUCACUUGUCGGUUUUAUGAUGUUUAUGUAUUUAUUCAUCCAUGAAUAUGGUUUUCAUGAUCAUACAUGGCUUUAUAUGUUUUUAAAAUUUCUUGAGAUGUGCUCGAAUUUGGAAGCUGCCUUUAAGCUUGGCAAUAGGUUUGCAUUAUACGUGUUUUUGCAUCCAUGGCAUGAUGUUCUCGGAUUUAUAUGAAUGCAAUGUUACAUUUGUUGGUAAAUUAUAUGCCAAGUACCGAACAUCUUUUUAUUUCGUGUUCACAGGAGCUAGAGAACAAGAGAAAGGAGAUGGCUGAGUUGGCAUACGAGAGGAAGCUUGGUUGAAGACUGAAAAAUCUGCAGAGGAGAAGCUUGGUUCCCAACUUCAACUCCUUUAUUCGGUGACAUAUUAAAAGUUUAGGGCUAUGACGUGGUGUCGUCGUCUUUUUUACCCUCCCAGUCAUACGUUCUUUUGUUGAGGAUUACAUCUCGGUGAGUUUCUUUUGGCUUUUAUUCGGGAUUACAUCGUAGUGAACUUCUUGUCGAGCAUCUCAUUUUGAGGAAUCAGAUCUUUUAUUCUGAUAAGUUUAAAUGAGGAACUUGUUUACCUGUGUUGACUGACUUGAAUCGUAUGGUUCUAAUUUGUUUUAUGAUAUUUUGUCUUUUUCCAUAAAAAUUUAUGGGUCUCGGUCUUGGUUUCUUUGUUGGGCGCCACUUACUGCCACCAAUAGCCAUGGCGGCUUCCGUUGUGUGCAUAUUGUGUUAACAUGUCUAGAGUUUUGGGUGUUUGCCUGACAUUUUAGCUUGACAUUUUCUAGCCUAUCGGAGAACUAUAAACCUAUUUUUGAACUGAAUUUAAAUUCGGGUAUGAUUUUUGGGUACGUCAUCGGACCGUUGAAGAUGGUCUUAGUAGAGCUAAUAGAGACUCGUGUGGUGUUUGCACAUGUGACAAACUCUGAAAAAUGGGAUUACACUUUUCUAAUCUCGCAAAAUAUUUAGAGAAUAACUCGACUCUAGAACGUACAUUCUUGGAUGAACUUUCCAUGGUACAAAUAGAGGACUGAACAUCCUACAGUAAACCGCAGGAUAACAAAUAUCAAUGGAGGGACGUCUCAUUUACACGAGGGAAUUCGAACAAUGCCCUCCUUUCCGACUCAGCGCUGAAAAAUGCAGACCUCCUCAUGUUCCGAAGUGUUGGGAGUGAGAACUUGGAUUGGUCUUGAAUCUGGACGCUGGCUGAUCAAACACAAAGAAGCUGGCAAGAAAUGUAGAAAACAACCUGCAACAUGUUGAAAUGAUGGUAAAAUGUUUGGAACAAAACAUUUAAGACAUAAAACUUGAUGAAUAAUUUGGUUUGACAAGAAAUUACCUACUGAAGUUUAGAAUGUGAGGAAUCUCAGGCCAAUAUUCAAUCUUCAUCCUCAUCUUAAUCAACUAAUUGACAAAAAAAAAAAGAGGUUUGGUCAAUAUGCAAUACUGAAGAAGAAAUGUGAGAGAAGGAGAAUUGAACAAAUGAAUUAUUUGUUUUGAGAGAGAAGAAUUACUUGUGAUUUUUGGAAUAUGAGAAAUCUUGGGCCACUCCGUGCCGGUACCCCUGGCGCAUUUUUCCUCCAGAAAGGGACAUAUAGCAAUUUGUAGAAGUUUUAGUUUGGUGAGGCGUUGCAUAGCUUGGGCGGAAGGCAGAGACUUGAGAUUCUUGCAUGUGUAAAUAUUUAGUUCGUUGAGAGAUGUAAGGUCACCCAACCACUCUGGAAGAGUCUCCAGCCCGUCACAAUCAACUAUCUCAAAUUCUGUUACAGGAUUAGUCGAGUGAUUAAUUACUUGAGGCAGAGACUUAAGCUUAGGCCACCCCCAAAAUACUAAUUUGUGUGACGAUGGAAUUUGCGAAACCGGGAAAGAAUCGAGCUCCUCCCAGAAUCCACCAAUCCACAACUUUUUCAAACGAGUCAGAGUGCGUAGACCCGUCGGCAAGUAUUGUAAUUUCUCACACCUACUUAUUGAUAAAUUGGAAAGAGAUUGCAAGCUAGUUACAUCGACAUCUGCCAGAGAUAUCAAAUUCUGACAAUCCUGUAUUCUUAGUUUGCCAAGGGAUGUGCAAUCGUGUAAAGAAAUCUGCCUAAAAUUCUGACAAUCCUCUAUUCUCAGUUUGCCAAGGGAUGUGCAAUCGUGUAAAGAAAUCUCUUCAAGAGUAGUGAUAAAUCUAAUGUUCAAUUCUGGUCCGCUGCAACUUGCAAUAACCAAUCUUCGGAGGGCGGUCAGACUCAUCCCCCCAUAGGCAACUGAACUCCAUCCUAGCAUAGGGCAAUUCACUAUACUCAACUCCUCAAGAGAUCCAUGACGGCCUGGCAGGCUUGAUAGUUGAGCACAAUCUUCAAUUACAAAUUGCCCCAGGGAUGGCGGCAAUACAUCUGAAAUUGGAAUGGAUACCAAGUUUCGGCUACCACUUAUUUUCAACCUCUCAAGUGCGUUGCAAUGCUUCAACCCACUCGGCAGACUUGAAAGCUUCUCACAACCCUCAAUCACUAAUCCUCGAAGACAUGGAUUGAUUGGAAUGAAUGUCAAACUAGGACAAUUCCUUAUAGUCAACUCCUCAAGAAUAAUGAGUGUUUCUAGCCCAUCAACCGAAACAUGCCUCAGCCUUUCACAAUUCUCGAUACACAGUGAAUGAAGGGAUGUACAAUCCUGUAAAUACAACUCCUCCAUUGUAGUACUACUGACGAUGGACAAUUCCAGUACAUAACUUGCAAUAAGUACCAAUUUGCGGAGUGUCGUUAGACCGUGAUUUGAAAUGCUUAUUAACUUGGGGGAUUUAUAAAUGGUCAACUCCUCAAUAAGAGACAUGUCUAACCCAUCAGUUGCAUACUGCCUCAAUUGUUGCAAAUCGUGGACGCCCAGCGCACGAAUAGAAGUGCAAGAUUCAAGCCCAAUCGAUGCAUGAGUUUUUAGUCCAUCGCAAUCUUCAAUGGUCAAUUCACGAAAGGAUGUGUAUUCGUGUAAACCUGAAAUUGACUCCAGACUUUUGCAUGACCUUAAAGACAACACCUGUAGAGGGGUAUAGCAUUCUGGUAGACUUUGCAGGUCCAUUAAUCUUAAUCCACCACAUGAACUAAUCUUCAAUCCUCGAAGGGAUGUUGCACCAUGAACUGAAAUGGACAUCAGACUAUCGCAGCAGCUUAUUUCCAAAUUUUCAAGAUAUGGACAUUUUAUGGACAACUCCUUAAGAGAAACUCGGCCGUACAAUUCUGGUCCACUAUGCAGGCUCGUUGAUGUUAAUUUACCACCACGUGAACUAAACAACAAUUUCUGGAUGGAUGUCAAACCAAAUAAUGAAAGGGAUCUAAGUUUGUCGCAGUUGCUUAUUUCCAGAUUCUUAAGAGAGGUACACUUUUCUACCAGACUUGUUAGGUUUGACAGCUCGUGACAAAUACUCAUAUCCAACUUACGAAGGGAUGCAAAAUGAUCAGGAAAUUUUCUCAUUUGCGGACACUCCACGAGAUCCAACUCCUCAAGGCGAGGAAACACGGAUAUUUGAUUUUCUUUCACCACUGGUGGUUCAAUCCAUUCGAUCAAAUUUGGGGCCGCACUAAUUCUGAACGUCUUCAAUGCAGGAUACAAAGCCUUGGUCUUCAUUGCAUCAUCAAUGUCAUCAUAGCCAUAAAACUCAUCUCCCAAACGUUUUAGAUUACACAUUGUAUUAAACUCAAGAUGCAUAAGACUAGGUAGAUGGCCAAGCAUGGGGGCUUCUUCACAUACGUCGCACUGAAUUAAUUGAAUUUUUUUCAAGUUGUUGUGCGGCUUCCAAGAUGGAAAUUUAGCACCCAUGAAAUUGUAAAUCUCUAAAAUUUCCAAAUUUGGGUGUGGCCGGAGGCCUUGGAGAACAUCUUCUUCACUGUUGCUGCGUGGCCUCAUUUCCUCACCCCAUACAAGUGAUAACUUUCGUAUGUUUCUCUUUUCAACUAAAUUUGAUUUCUUCGCUUCUUCUCCAUCCCUCACAUGUUCCAAAUCAUAAAUAACCAGUUCAUCGUUCAAGUGGUUUAAGCCAGCCAAUUCCUCAAUUCACGACCGAUUCCAUAAGGACUCACAAUAAAAUAAGGCAUCUUUCGAAGAUUAGUAAAUUGCCCGACCCCAACAUGAGAUUCCCUGUACCAACCAAAAUUAGCACGUUUCUUUUUUUGGACAGGACCAAAAUAGAUAUGUCUCAAGUUGAUCAAAUCUCCAAUUUCCUUGGGAAACACCUUCAGUAGUCGACAAUACUCCAUUCUUAAUGUCUGUAAGUUAUGGAGCUUGCCGACAGAUUUGGGGAUUGCUUUGAUCUUUGUUCUAGAAACGUUUAAAUACCUCAAUUGCUUCAUCUUCUCAAUUGAUUUCGGCAGCUCCUUAAUAUCAACAUUGUAAAGAUUCAAGACAUGUAAACCCCUAAACCUUGGCAACAUGUUACUAGGAACUUCACUAUUAGAAAACAAUGAGCGCAAUCCCCUUAAACUUUUUUUUGGUAUCAAUUCCAAAACCGAAGUAGGAAUGUGUGAAGCAUGUCGAAUCUUCAGUGUGCCGACCAUCUCAUUAGAAUUCGAUGUCGCGCUAUCAGAUUUUGAUACAAGUUCUGCAAAAUCAUGCACAAGAACGUGCAUCUUGCAUUUGGCAACAACACCAAAGGCAUCCUUCGUAAGAUCUUGAAGUAAGGAGUUUUGCAACAGAAUAUGAAAAUACUUCGUGCCUAUAUCCUCCAUCUCUAGAUCACUAUUCUCGGAAGAAGGGUGAAGCAAUCCUUGAGCCAUCCACAGUUGGAUUAGGUCAUCCCUUUCAAUUUCAAAGCCUUUCUUGAACAUUGAGCAAUAAGCGAAGCAUUGUUUCAAAAUUGGGAAUUUCAAAUUAUCCAAACUCAACUUCAAUCCCGAGAUGAUCAUCUCUUCUGCUUCUGGAGAGUCCCAUAUUUUACCGUCUAGAAUUGCUGACCAUUCAUUUGCCUCAUUCUUAGAGCACAACAUUCCUCCAAAAACCUAUUGAUUCAUAUAUAGUUAGAUUUUUUGUUAAAUAAUACAUAGGUAGCAUAACCGAUUAUAACAAUAAAAACAUUAAUUUGUAGUUUGACAGAAGUUGACUAAUAUGUGCACAUUGUGUUGUAUUGAUGCAGACUAUAUUUGGCUUGUCCAUACAAAUGUUUCAUUUAAACUUUUUUAUACUUAUCAAUGUUAUCAUGGUGUUGUUAACAUAUCAGUUGACUUCCUAUACAGUUUAGAUUUUACCUGUGUGGCUAAGAUGAGAGAAUAGUGAAUCUACACAAACAUUUUAAUCGACGUGAGAAAUAUAUUUUAUUUAAAUUGGUUUACAAUGAUCAAGUUUUGGUGGCUAAAUAAAUUUGUGAGUAUCAACCUACAAGAUCACUAAUGCAACAGUAGAAGUGCAUGGGUGAGGAGAAAGAGCAAUGGCUUUUUUUGAUGACCUUUACGCACUUCUGCAUUCCUUUUAUUUUUACUAGCCAUUUAGUUGAUAAAGAGAAUGUUAGGACCUUGAUAAUGUUAAUGGGUCAAUAUAUGUAAGAAGGUUAAUGGGUUACUUAAGCCCACUAAGGAGAAUACUAUGUAUCAAGAUGAAUGAGUGUCCAAUGGUCAACAAUCAUUACCGUCUAAGGGAGUGUAUCUAGAAAAGCAGUCAAGUCUAGUCGGACUAUGACGAGUGUUUAGGAAAGACAAUUUGUCGUAUAACACAUUUAUUGUAGCUCAUUAGCUGGCCAACGUCCAAGUUAAGGACGAGAACAUGAGUACAUGUAAUGCUUGCAGGACAAAUACAUGGUUUUCAUGAGAGAUUCAAUGUCUCGUCGGUGUUUUGGAUACCUAUUGGAAAACAAUGAUGGCGUCUCUCUCAUCUAAGAUGGUCAUAUCUUGUUUAAUACCCAUAGUCCGGAUAUGAACUAGCCAACAUUAUAAUUUAUAUGUAUGAUAUCCAGCCAACAUUAUAUGAAACAAAGUCCUCCAUGCACUAUGGGAGACCGAAAGACUUGAACAAACCUUUACAGUGCUAGAUGAGAUAAAUAUUUGUAGAAGUGUUCAUGAUAUCAAGAUGGGCCAUUUUAUUUGAAGAUAUUUGUUUCAUGGUCAAGGAACUGUUGCGUUUGAUAGAGUUGAUAUAGUAUUGUGAUGAUAAUGCCAAUUCGUCUGAUGCCUUGCUAAUCCGAGGAAGCAAGGUUAUUAUUGGAUCAAGACAAAGUUGUUCAGUAGAUGAAUUGAACAACUUUUUGGGUCUUUGUUCAGUACUAUUAUAUGCAUCAGAAUCAUGAAGGAAAAAGUUGUUCGGUUGGAGGCUAGUGUGCUUGUGGGAUGCUAGAGAAUUUGGAAAUUUUUCAUUUUCACCAAGGUUAUAUUUGGGGAAAUAUUCAGCAAAUGAUGACUAGUUUGCACUUGUUUUGGUUGUAGCUACCACACUAACACUUGGACAAAGGCAUAGCUUAUUGGGUCUAACUUAGCAUAAACUACAAUUACGGCAUGAAGACAUGCCUUUAUUUUGGGGGUAGGAUUGUUAGGAUGCUGUAAUUUACGACUCAAAAUUAGGAUGAUGCAAAAAUUAGGUUUGUGUACCUAUUUCAUUUUGGUGUCUUUUUUUAGUUUGGAUUUGAUUUCUUGGUUGGAUUCCUUGCUUGAUGGAGAGAUUUCGUUAAUUAACAUUUGAUUAGGAUUUGGAUUUACUUCCAAUUAGGAUUAGAAUUCUCAUUGUAACCUAAGUCCUAUGCACUAUAAAUACACUAUAAAUAGGACCUUAGGUUUUGGUUUAUUUCGUGUGCCAACACCAUUACUUUAGAGAGUUUUCUCUCAUUGGAUUUUGGGUGGAGGUUAUAGUUUGGAGUCACGAUUUGGUGAGAAUUAGUUUGCGAGUUAGAAAACAAUUUGGGAGAAUCUUCUCCAUAUGUUUGGGUUCUUUACUCGUGCGGUUUAGGGUUUGUAACUUGUGGGAUUUAGGUUAUGACAGUGAAACACUCUUUUGUAAUCUCCGUUCGUUUAGUGAAAUUUCUCACCGUGCUUCGCCUGUGGACAUAGGCUUUGCACCAAACCACGUGAAAUCGCUUGCAUUCUUAUUUUGAGAUUGUUUACUUAGCUUUCUCCUUCAUAUGAACACUUUGUCGAUACCAUGCUAUUUGGUAGGGAAAGUCUUAGUUUGGAAGAUGUUAAAGCCUCUUUGAAUUCUAAAGAACUAAAGAAUAAAGUGUAUGACACGCAAGAUGGAGCUUUGGUAGUUCAAGGAAAGAAUAAGAAAAGGGGCAAAUUUGGAAAGAACACUCAUAGCUGUUAUCAUAAAGAGGGUCAUUAGAAAAUAGAUUGCCCUAAACUCAAGGGCAAAAAGAAGCUAUUUGAUAAGUCUUUUUGCUAGUGUUGAGGCAAACAUUGCUAAAGAUUGUUAUUCUGAAUUCCUCUAAAGGUUAUGUGAGAAGGUGGAGCUUGGUACUCAAGCUCUUUUGGUGGAGUGCAAUUCGCACUUUAGGUUCAUAUGUUGAAGCUUUUUUUGGAUUUUAUUUCAUAUUUGUUAGUUUGAAACGUUUUGGAUUUUUUGAGUCUAGGUGGAGAUUAGUUCUUUGAAGAAUUUGGUGAUCAUUUUUGCACUUGUAAUUUGGUACCCCAAUUUGGAGUUUGUAUUUGAUUUGGAAGUUUUGCUAAUUUCUUGCCGAGGUGGAGAUUGUUGGGAUUUACGACUCAAAAUUAGGAUGAUGCAAAAAUUAGGUUUGUGUUACCCAUUUCGUUUUGGUUUCCUAUUUGAGUUUGGAGUUAAUUUCUUGGUUGGAUUCCUUGCUUGGUGGAGAGAUUUUAUUGAUUACCUAUUUGAUUAGGAUUUGGAUUUACUUCCAAUUAGGACUAGGAUUCUCAUUGUAACAUAAAUCCUAUGCAUUAUAAAUAGGACCUUAGGUUGGUUUAUUUUGUGUGCUAACACCAUUAGUUUAGAGAGUUUUCUCUCACUAGAUUUUGGGUGUAGGUCACAUUUGGAGUCAUGAGUGUGUGGCAAAUUCAUGGCUCAUUCGUUUGGCAAUUUGGUGAUAAUCAAUUUGUGAGUUAGAGAACAAUUUGGGAGAAUCUUCUCCAUCUUUUUUGGGUUCUCUAAUCGUUUGGUUUAGGGUUUGUAAUUUGUGGGAUUUGGGUUGUGAGAGUUAAACACUCUUUUGCAAUCUCCGUUUGUUUAGUGAAAUUCCUCGCUGUAAUUUGACUAUGGACGUACGCUUUAAGCUGAAUCAUGUUAAAUCUCUUGUGUUCUUAUUUUUUAGAUUGUUUAUUUUAGUUUUUUGCUACAAUGUUGAUGUUUGAUAUUUAGUAUUUUGAUGACAAGUUUGCACUUGUUUUGGUUGUAGCUACCACGCUAAUACUUGGACAAACGCAAAGCUUAUUGGGUCUAACUUAGCAUAAACUAUUUUGCCACUUAGUACUACGGUCUAGUGGUAUUUAUCUUCACUUAUAAGUGAGAGGUUUUAGGUUCGAUUCUCACCAAAAACAAGUUUGAACCACAUUAUUGCUAACCCAUUGUGAGGCUAAGCCCACCUCCUCCCUUUAACGUAGAUAAUAUUGUUUGUUCCCGAGGAAAAAAAAACUUAGCAUAAACUACAAUUACAGCAUGAGAACAUGCCUUUAUUUAUGGGGUAGAAUUGUUAGGACCCUAUAACAAUAUUUAGUGCCCAAUAUAUGUAACAGGGUUAAUGGGUCACCUAGGCCCACUAAGGAGAGUACCAUAUAUUUUUGAAUUGUCUUAUUUGUAAGGCAUAAAUGAAGAAUAUUGUUAUUUAAUUUCUUAAUUUUUUUUUUCCUUUCUUUCUGGUUCCAUUAGAGAAUACACAACAACAACAACAACAACAAAGCCUUUUCUCACUAAGUGGGGUCGGCUAUAUGAAUCCUAGAACGCCAUUGCGCUCGGUUUUGUGUCAUGUCCUCCGUUAGAUCCAAGUACUCUAAGUCUUUUCUUAGAGUCUCUUCCAAAGUUUUCCUAGGUCUUCCUCUACCCCUUCGGCCCUGAACCUCUGUCCCGUUGUCACAUCUUCGAACCGGAGUGUCAAUAGGCCUUCUUUGCACAUGUCCAAAUCACCAGAACCGAUUUUCUCUCAUCUUUCCUUCAAUUUCGGCUACUCCUACUUUACCUCGGAUAUCCUCAUUCUCAAUCUUAUCCUUUCUCGUGUGCCCACACAUCCCACGAAGCAUCCUCAUCUCCGUCACACCCAUUUUGUGUACGUGUUGAUGCUUCACCACCCAACAUUCUGUGUCAUACAACAUCGCUGGCCUUAUUGCCGUCCUAUAAAAUUUUCCCUUGAGCUGCAGUGGCCUACGACGGUCACACAACACGCCGGAUGCACUCUUACACUUCAUCCAUCCAGCUUGUAUUCUAUGGUUGAGAUCUCCAUCUAAUUCUCCGUUCUCUUGCACGAUAGAUCCUAGGUAGCGAAAACGGUCGCUUUUUGUGAUCUUCGCUAGAUUGCUCCGGUCAUUAGUGUGGAUAAAUAUAUAAAUGGAUAGAGAUAGGAAAGCAAACACAAGAUGUACGUGGUUCCCCCAGAUUAGCUACGUCCACGGAAUAGAAGAGUUCGCAUUAAUUGUGAAGGGUUUACACAAGUACAUAGGUUCAAGCUCUCCUUUAGUGAGUACAGGUGAAUGAUUUAGUACAAAUGACAUUAGGAAAUAUUGUGGGAGAAUGAUCUCGUAAUCACGAAACUUCUAAGUAUCGGAGUGUGGUAUCGUCUUGACUUGCCUUAUCUGUCUCAUAGGUAGAUGUGGCAUCUUCUCUGGAAGU
RNAcentral lists this long non-coding RNA (20412 nucleotides) under Malus domestica (apple). Its description in RNAcentral is "long non-coding RNA (MDOM_LNC006454)". The record is from RNAcentral. Lineage: Eukaryota; Viridiplantae; Streptophyta; Magnoliopsida; Rosales; Rosaceae.